Molecule: non-coding RNA, 753 nt
Filed under: Eochionelasmus ohtai
Lineage: Eukaryota; Metazoa; Arthropoda; Thecostraca; Balanomorpha; Pachylasmatidae
Description: 12S ribosomal RNA
Rfam family: Microsporidia small subunit ribosomal RNA (bases 361-753)
Source: RNAcentral
AUGAGAUCGUUUAGGUCCGUGUUGUUAUUUUAGCUAUAUUAAUGUGUUUACAUGUGAACAAAUGUGUGAGUUGGAUUGACUAAUUUAGUCCAGUGAUGUUCUCAGUGAGUUGUAUUGGUGUCAAAUGAAAGUUUUAGCCAGAUAAUUAGUGAAGAGUGGAAAAUAGCGUGCCAGCAGCCGCGGUUAUACGCGUACUUUGAGUUAAAAUUGUUGUACAAAAUUUUAUUUUAAUAUUGAGCGUGGGUUUGUUUUUAUUAUUAGGUAGAAUUUUAAUAUUAGAAUAUGAUCGUAUUGUUAAGGUAGGAUAAAGAUAUGUUGAACCAGGAUUAGAUACCCUGUUACUUAUUUUUAAUUGGUUUUGGAAUAGUAUUAUUUUUGAAAUUUAACGGAUUUGGCGGCAAGAUAGCCCAUUUAGAGGAACCUGCCCUAUAAACGAUGAGCCACGAAAAACCUUACUUUUAUUGGUAAUCAGUUUGUAUACCGCUGUUGUCAGUUAGUUUCUGUAGAAAACUUUCGGUAAUGAAAUAUUCAUUGACUUCAAGUAAAGGUGCAGCUUAUAUAAAAGGAAGAGGUGGGUUACAAUUAAGUGAAUAAAUAACGGAUAAUAAUAUGUAAAAAUUGUUUGAAGGUGGAUUUAAUUGUAAAAUUUAUAUUAUUUUGAUGUGAGCACUAUCUUGUGUACACACCGCCCGUCGCUCUCUUUUUUAAACGAGAUAAGUCGUAACAAGGUAAGUGUAAUGGAAAUUGUACUUG